CCUACGGGAGGCUGCAGUGGGGAAUAUUGCACAAUGGGCGCAAGCCUGAUGCAGCCAUGCCGCGUGUGUGAAGAAGGCCUUCGGGUUGUAAAGCACUUUCAGCGGGGAGGAAGGCGGUGAGGUUAAUAACCUCAUCGAUUGACGUUACCCGCAGAAGAAGCACCGGCUAACUCCGUGCCAGCAGCCGCGGUAAUACGGAGGGUGCAAGCGUUAAUCGGAAUUACUGGGCGUAAAGCGCACGCAGGCGGUCUGUCAAGUCGGAUGUGAAAUCCCCGGGCUCAACCUGGGAACUGCAUUCGAAACUGGCAGGCUAGAGUCUUGUAGAGGGGGGUAGAAUUCCAGGUGUAGCGGUGAAAUGCGUAGAGAUCUGGAGGAAUACCGGUGGCGAAGGCGGCCCCCUGGACAAAGACUGACGCUCAGGUGCGAAAGCGUGGGGAGCAUACAGGAUUAGAUACCCGUGUAGUC
This 465-nucleotide ribosomal RNA is filed under the name uncultured Klebsiella sp. RNAcentral's name for it is "bacterial SSU rRNA". It matches the Rfam family "Bacterial small subunit ribosomal RNA", at positions 338 to 795 of the family's 1533-position model. The record is from RNAcentral. Lineage: Bacteria; Pseudomonadati; Pseudomonadota; Gammaproteobacteria; Enterobacterales; Enterobacteriaceae.